UACGUAGGGUGCAAGCGUUGUCCGGAAUUACUGGGCGUAAAGCGCGCGCAGGCGGCUCUUUAAGUCUCGUGGUCAAAUGCCGGGGCUCAACCCCGAGCGUGCCGGGGAUACUGGAGGGCUGGAGACAGGUAGAGGCAAGCGGAAUUCCGGGUGUAGCGGUGGAAUGCGUAGAGAUCCGGAAGAACACCGGAGGCGAAGGCGGCUUGCUGGACCUGGUCUGACGCUGAGGCGCGAAAGCGUGGGGAGCGAACAGG
This 254-nucleotide ribosomal RNA is filed under the name uncultured bacterium. Its description in RNAcentral is "partial 16S ribosomal RNA". It matches the Rfam family "Bacterial small subunit ribosomal RNA", at positions 524 to 776 of the family's 1533-position model. The record is from RNAcentral.